RNAcentral lists this ribosomal RNA (247 nucleotides) under Achatinella decipiens. RNAcentral describes it as "partial 16S ribosomal RNA". Lineage: Eukaryota; Metazoa; Mollusca; Gastropoda; Stylommatophora; Achatinellidae. The record is from RNAcentral.
UUGAAGUCGAGAAUGAAAGGAAAGAUUGAAAUAAACUGUCUUAAAAAGUUUUUUGUAAAAAUUACUGAUAUGGUGAAAAUUCCAUAAAAAAUUUUAAUAGACGAGAAGACCCUAUGAAUUAUUUAUAAAAAGAUUUUUCAAAAAUUUUAAAUUUUUGUUGGGGCAACAAAGGUUUUAAUUCAUUUAAUACAAAAAAAUUUUAAAAUUAAAUAUAACAUUUGAAGUUUUACUAUAAAUGAAUUUAAUU